Molecule: non-coding RNA, 1569 nt
Organism: Coffea arabica (coffee)
Lineage: Eukaryota; Viridiplantae; Streptophyta; Magnoliopsida; Gentianales; Rubiaceae
Source: RefSeq, a predicted model, not a curated record
ACAAAAGGAAUGACAAUGUCAAACUUUUAUAUGCUUAUAUAUGAAGGAAUUUUAAUGUCAUGAUAACCUUGUAUAUUCUACUGCUUCCUGCUAACCAUCUCAUAGUAUACUAUGCAAACUCCAAGAGAAUGUAAUUUGUAUAAGGUACUUAAGAAUAAAAAAUUACAGACAUUUCCAAGCGCGCAACAAUUUACUUUUCUGUUUAAUCACCCGACUGGGUACUCUCUAGGUUAGUAGAGACACUUUAAGUCAUCAUGAGAAGGCACAAAGCACUACUACUUUCAUUACAACAGCCUCCAUUUUGAACUAUUUUCUUCAGUUCCCAAAUAGGUUUUACCAAUACCAACUACACAUUCUAUAUCUGGUCAUUUGACCUUUGACCUUUCUACUGGGUUAUAUUUCGAGUCUCUACACUACAUAUCCUCUGAGUUUGUGGUAGACAUGAGUUCUCCCAUAAAGUACAAGAUUGCUACAGGUCUAUGCAACUUUUCCAAGGUUCCUAUCAGAACCAGAAAAUAUAUCAAAAAAAGUGAAACCCUCUAAAGAUAUCCUGGCAUUGAGUUUAUUGGUUAAGACAAAUUAUAAACUGUUUUCUGUUCUAAUCUUUUCUUAUUCUCUCAUCUACAAUAAUAUGUUUAGACCCUAUGAUUACACUAAAAAUUAAUCCCCUAAAAUCUUGAUUCUAGUUUAUCCAUUUCACAUGAAUAGGUAAACCUCAGAACCCCAAACCAGGAAAACACCUCAAAUUGUUCACCUGUAGUCUCCACACAACUUUUACCACAGCCAAUAAAACAACAUUAAUAACAAAAGGCUACUCCUCGGUUGGUUUUUGCUUCCAAAGCACCAAGCAGGGAAAAUGUAACUCCUUGAAUACAUCAGUUCGAUUUCUCUUUGACAAUACAAAGCCUUUUGUCCUUUUAUCUUUCUUAUCUUAAUCUAUCUCCAAGAUGCCACUUAACAACCUUCAAGUCAGAUACCAAAACAAGGAAAUGUUGACCUACAGCUAGAAAAAAUUAGCAAAAAGAACCAUUUUACCACCCGUUUGGUUCAAAUCAGCAAUGGCAACGACUAUGACCUUCAAUGACAAUCAAUUAACCAGGGAUUCCCUUUAAAAAUGAUUGGCAGUGUUUGUAUUUGUAUAGGAAUCAACUUCUAUUUUCUUUUCUUAUUUCUUUCAACGUCUUCAUGCUAUAACUGUCAACCAAAACCUUUAAUUUCUUACCAUUGUCAGCCUUCGCCACCUACAGCGAGUAAUCUCAAGAAAGCUCUAUUUCUGUAACUCAACAAAAUCAACAAAAACCCAAAACCAAAACCAACACCAAGGCAUAACCACAAUUCUUCCAUGCAAAUCAAGACCAAAAUCCAAAAUAAUCUUGCUAUUAUGAUGAAAGCCCACAGUCAAUCAACAUAGAAAGUUCUAUGGCUGCAUCAAGCUUAGAAAUUAGAAACAUAACCAAGACCAGUCCGCGUAAGUUUAUAUGGACAAGAUUUUUACAUAGCAAAACCAGUUCAAUGACAAUUGUUUUGAAUCUGGGAAAAUUUUGAGUGCCGAUUACAAAAAAAAAAAAA